RNAcentral lists this ribosomal RNA (1419 nucleotides) under Klebsiella pneumoniae. Its description in RNAcentral is "bacterial SSU rRNA". It matches the Rfam family "Bacterial small subunit ribosomal RNA". The record is from RNAcentral. Lineage: Bacteria; Pseudomonadati; Pseudomonadota; Gammaproteobacteria; Enterobacterales; Enterobacteriaceae.
CAGCUACACAUGCAGUCGAGCGGUAGCACAGAGAGCUUGCUCUCGGGUGACGAGCGGCGGACGGGUGAGUAAUGUCUGGGAAACUGCCUGAUGGAGGGGGAUAACUACUGGAAACGGUAGCUAAUACCGCAUAACGUCGCAAGACCAAAGUGGGGGACCUUCGGGCCUCAUGCCAUCAGAUGUGCCCAGAUGGGAUUAGCUAGUAGGUGGGGUAACGGCUCACCUAGGCGACGAUCCCUAGCUGGUCUGAGAGGAUGACCAGCCACACUGGAACUGAGACACGGUCCAGACUCCUACGGGAGGCAGCAGUGGGGAAUAUUGCACAAUGGGCGCAAGCCUGAUGCAGCCAUGCCGCGUGUGUGAAGAAGGCCUUCGGGUUGUAAAGCACUUUCAGCGGGGAGGAAGGCGUUAAGGUUAAUAACCUUGUCGAUUGACGUUACCCGCAGAAGAAGCACCGGCUAACUCCGUGCCAGCAGCCGCGGUAAUACGGAGGGUGCAAGCGUUAAUCGGAAUUACUGGGCGUAAAGCGCACGCAGGCGGUCUGUCAAGUCGGAUGUGAAAUCCCCGGGCUCAACCUGGGAACUGCAUUCGAAACUGGCAGGCUAGAGUCUUGUAGAGGGGGGUAGAAUUCCAGGUGUAGCGGUGAAAUGCGUAGAGAUCUGGAGGAAUACCGGUGGCGAAGGCGGCCCCCUGGACAAAGACUGACGCUCAGGUGCGAAAGCGUGGGGAGCAAACAGGAUUAGAUACCCUGGUAGUCCACGCCGUAAACGAUGUCGAUUUGGAGGUUGUGCCCUUGAGGCGUGGCUUCCGGAGCUAACGCGUUAAAUCGACCGCCUGGGGAGUACGGCCGCAAGGUUAAAACUCAAAUGAAUUGACGGGGGCCCGCACAAGCGGUGGAGCAUGUGGUUUAAUUCGAUGCAACGCGAAGAACCUUACCUGGUCUUGACAUCCACAGAACUUUCCAGAGAUGGAUUGGUGCCUUCGGGAACUGUGAGACAGGUGCUGCAUGGCUGUCGUCAGCUCGUGUUGUGAAAUGUUGGGUUAAGUCCCGCAACGAGCGCAACCCUUAUCCUUUGUUGCCAGCGGUCCGGCCGGGAACUCAAAGGAGACUGCCAGUGAUAAACUGGAGGAAGGUGGGGAUGACGUCAAGUCAUCAUGGCCCUUACGACCAGGGCUACACACGUGCUACAAUGGCAUAUACAAAGAGAAGCGACCUCGCGAGAGCAAGCGGACCUCAUAAAGUAUGUCGUAGUCCGGAUUGGAGUCUGCAACUCGACUCCAUGAAGUCGGAAUCGCUAGUAAUCGUAGAUCAGAAUGCUACGGUGAAUACGUUCCCGGGCCUUGUACACACCGCCCGUCACACCAUGGGAGUGGGUUGCAAAAGAAGUAGGUAGCUUAACCUUCGGGAGGGCGCUACCA